This 1071-nucleotide ribosomal RNA is filed under the name Salmonella enterica. Its description in RNAcentral is "partial 23S ribosomal RNA". It matches the Rfam family "Bacterial large subunit ribosomal RNA", at positions 566 to 1554 of the family's 2925-position model. RNAcentral also lists the same sequence under 1 other name. The record is from RNAcentral. Lineage: Bacteria; Pseudomonadati; Pseudomonadota; Gammaproteobacteria; Enterobacterales; Enterobacteriaceae.
CCACCACCAAAGCAUUCUCUGGUGUUGAAGGCCCUGCAAAGCAGCAUCGCGGUGGCGGAGCGUCGUUUGCGACGCCCAACACACAAAACAAGCGGUGAGUGCUUUGGGGUGGGGUGACUGCGUACCUUUUGUAUAAUGGGUCAGCGACUUAUAUUCUGUAGCAAGGUUAACCGUAUAGGGGAGCCGAAGGGAAACCGAGUCUUAACUGGGCGUUAAGUUGCAGGGUAUAGACCCGAAACCCGGUGAUCUAGCCAUGGGCAGGUUGAAGGUUGGGUAACACUAACUGGAGGACCGAACCGACUAAUGUUGAAAAAUUAGCGGAUGACUUGUGGCUGGGGGUGAAAGGCCAAUCAAACCGGGAGAUAGCUGGUUCUCCCCGAAAGCUAUUUAGGUAGCGCCUCGUGAACUCAUCUUCGGGGGUAGAGCACUGUUUCGGCUAGGGGGUCAUCCCGACUUACCAACCCGAUGCAAACUGCGAAUACCGAAGAAUGUUAUCACGGGAGACACACGGCGGGUGCUAACGUCCGUCGUGAAGAGGGAAACAACCCAGACCGCCAGCUAAGGUCCCAAAGUCACAGUUAAGUGGGAAACGAUGUGGGAAGGCUCAGACAGCCAGGAUGUUGGCUUAGAAGCAGCCAUCAUUUAAAGAAAGCGUAAUAGCUCACUGGUCGAGUCGGCCUGCGCGGAAGAUGUAACGGGGCUAAACUGUGCACCGAAGCUGCGGCAGCGACGCUUAUGCGUUGUUGGGUAGGGGAGCGUUCUGUAAGCCUGCGAAGGUGUCCUGUGAGGGAUGCUGGAGGUAUCAGAAGUGCGAAUGCUGACAUAAGUAACGAUAAUGCGGGUGAAAAGCCCGCUCGCCGGAAGACCAAGGGUUCCUGUCCAACGUUAAUCGGGGCAGGGUGAGUCGACCCCUAAGGCGAGGCCGAAAGGCGUAGUCGAUGGGAAACGGGUUAAUAUUCCCGUACUUGGUGUUACUGCGAAGGGGGGACGGAGAAGGCUAUGUUGGCCGGGCGACGGUUGUCCCGGUUUAAGCGUGUAGGCUGGUUUUCCAGGCAAAUCCGGAAAAUCAAG